UGGGGAAUAUUGGACAAUGGGCGCAAGCCUAAUCCAGCAAUGCCGCGUGUGUGAAGAAGGCCUUCGGGUUGUAAAGCACUUUUAUCAGGAGCGAAACGCUGUCGGCUAAUACCCGGCGGAACUGACGGUACCUGAGGAAUAAGCACCGGCUAACUUCGUGCCAGCAGCCGCGGUAAUACGAAGGGUGCAAGCGUUAAUCGGAAUUACUGGGCGUAAAGCGUGCGUAGGCGGUUUCUUAAGUCUGCUGUGAAAUCCCGGGCUCAACCUGGGAAUGGCAGUGGAUACUGGGAGGCUAGAGUGUGUCAGAGGGUGGUGGAAUUCCCGGUGUAGCGGUGAAAUGCGUAGAGAUCGGGAGGAACAUCAGUGGCGAAGGCGGCCACCUGGGACAACACUGACGCUGAGGCACGAAAAGCGUGGGGGAGCAAACAGGAUUAGAUACCCUGGUAGUCCACGCCCUAAAGCGAUGCGAACUGGAUGUUGGUCUCAACUCGGAGAUCAGUGUCGAAGCUAACGCGUUAAGUUCGCCGCCUGGGGAGUACGGUCGCAAGACUGAAACUCAAAGGAAUUGAC
Molecule: ribosomal RNA, 570 nt
Filed under: uncultured bacterium
Lineage: Bacteria
Description: partial 16S ribosomal RNA
Rfam family: Bacterial small subunit ribosomal RNA
Source: RNAcentral